Molecule: ribosomal RNA, 253 nt
Filed under: uncultured bacterium
Lineage: Bacteria
Description: partial 16S ribosomal RNA
Rfam family: Bacterial small subunit ribosomal RNA
Source: RNAcentral
UACGAAGGGGGCUAGCGUUGCUCGGAAUCACUGGGCGUAAAGCGUGCGCAGGCGGUUUUGCAAGUCAGAUGUGAAAUCCCCGGGCUUAACCUGGGAACUGCGUUUGAAACUACAAGGCUAGAGUGUGGCAGAGGGGGGUGGAAUUCCACGUGUAGCAGUGAAAUGCGUAGAGAUGUGGAGGAACACCGAUGGCGAAGGCAGCCCCCUGGGUUAACACUGACGCUCAGGCACGAAAGCGUGGGGAGCAAACAGG